AUGGCACCAUUCCUGGAGUUAGGCCUUCAACCAAAGAGCUGGGCCAUCCGUGGCAAUGCCUCCCAGGCUUGGGAGCUGGGAAAAGGCCCCAGGAGCUAGGGCAUCCUGAUUGUUCUUUCAAAGAAAUCCCUCUUGUUCUUAGUCAACAUGCUGGAUACCAGCUAAAAAAUGCAAAAUGAUCUUCAGGCAGGGAUGGCACAGGACCCUUGCUGAGCUGUGAAGCCUGGCUGUGAGGAUUCCUGCAUGGAAACAUCAACAUGUUGCCAGAUUGGUAUACGACUCAACACCACACUGACAUGCUGCUCCCAAACAGUGCCUUUGAAUCAAGACCCAGUCAUCGUAUUCGAAGAAAAAGGAAAUAUCCCUGACCAUGUUGGGACUUAACACUGCUUCACAGAGGGAAGCUUUCACACCACAUUUUGUUUCCUGACAAGAGAAGGAGAAAUCGUUGGCCUCUGCGUGACAUGGAGGGUCCCCCCACCUGCAAGCUUUUGUGUUUGCUGGAUCUUGGACAGUACCCUGGCGAAAAGCAUUCGGCAAGAUUAUCCGGCUAGCACAGCCUUCAAGGAAUAAAUAUCUAACACCUUGUUCCCUUUUGCGGUUCAAAAGCCACUGUCACUGGGGUACAUAGGCAGUUUUAAAAAAGGCUACAAUUCAUAUGCAAACUAGAGGAGGAUUUCCAUGAUUUCAUAAUAAAAUGUUGAAACGCUUUGAUCUGGAGUUGUAAGGAGGUGUGAAACAGUGCCUCCGAAACAGACAGAUAUUUGUGUAAUCAUCCUUUAUGUAUUGCCAGUGCGGAAUAAUAACAUAUCAAAGCCCCAACCUACCUCAUCUGCCUGGUACAGCCAAGGCAUAAAUAAAGGGGAACAAUGGAAUUACUAUUACUCACUCUCCGAGAGCCAGCGACAUCACUGUAUCCUUUAUAAUUGCUGGCAAGAAGAUUAAUGUUUUGUUAAAUAUCAGAGCAAGGUCACAAGGGGGCUUGCAGGCCUGUCUAAACAUCUAGUCUUUAAGCUCCUUCUCCCUCACUUGCUCUUUUUUGCGGAAAUGAACUUGUAGCAUUUCCUCUAAUUAUGGUGAUUUUUGCUACUGAAAGCGGGCCUACAUCAUCGCUUGACUCUGAACAUGCUCACACACACAUGCAUGCAUGCUCACACACACAUGCAUGCAUACACACACACACAUAUACACACACACAUCUUCCCCAAAUAAUAUUUGGGGACAGGCCUGACUUAACUGCAGAAUAUGGGCAACGUUGUUAUGAGGUGACCUUGGCCUUUUAACCAACGUGGAUAAUUCAUUGCCUGUCGCUGUGCACAGCUCGUGCUUAAAAAGUGAACUUUAUUGGGGUCCUCAGGGGGCUCCCUAGCAAAGACUGGUAUCAUCGUUCAUUGCGCUUCUGUUUUGUUUAGCCCAUACGCCUGUCCAUACAGAUGUUUCCAACAGCAAACAGUUCAUGACCCAGAAAGAAAAAAA
Long non-coding RNA from Homo sapiens (human), 1476 nucleotides. Lineage: Eukaryota; Metazoa; Chordata; Mammalia; Primates; Hominidae. The record is from Ensembl.